RNAcentral lists this ribosomal RNA (274 nucleotides) under uncultured bacterium. RNAcentral describes it as "partial 16S ribosomal RNA". It matches the Rfam family "Bacterial small subunit ribosomal RNA", at positions 523 to 796 of the family's 1533-position model. The record is from RNAcentral.
AUACGGAGGGUGCAAGCGUUGUUCGGAAUUACUGGGCGUAAAGCGCGUGCAGGCGGUAAGGUAAGUCAGAUGUGAAAGCCCCGGGCUCAACCCGGGAAGUGCAUUUGAUACUGCCUUUCUUGAGUAUGGGAGAGGAGAGUGGAAUUCCCAGUGUAGAGGUGAAAUUCGUAGAUAUUGGGAGGAACACCCGUGGCGAAGGCGACUCUCUGGACCAAUACUGACGCUGAGACGCGAAAGCGUGGGGAGCGAACAGGAUUAGAAACCCUUGUAGUCC